UACGUAGGUGGCAAGCGUUGUCCGGAUUUACUGGGCGUAAAGAGCGCGCAGGCGGUCGUUCAAGUCGCGUGUGAAAGCCCCCGGCUCAACUGGGGAGGGUCACGCGAUACUGAUCGACUCGAAGGCAGGAGAGGGUAGUGGAAUUCCCGGUGUAGUGGUGAAAUGCGUAGAUAUCGGGAGGAACACCAGUGGCGAAGGCGACUUCCUGGACCAGUACCGACGUUCAGGCACGAAAGCGUGGGGAGCAAACAGG
RNAcentral lists this ribosomal RNA (253 nucleotides) under uncultured bacterium. RNAcentral's name for it is "partial 16S ribosomal RNA". It matches the Rfam family "Bacterial small subunit ribosomal RNA", at positions 524 to 776 of the family's 1533-position model. The record is from RNAcentral.